GGAGUGAGAGCUCCGAAUUGAAGCCCCGGUGAACGGCGGCCGUAACAAUAACGGUCCUAAGGUAGCGAAAUUCCUUGUCGGGUAAGUUCCGACCUGCACGAAUGGUGUAAUGAUUUGAGCGCUGUCUUGACGGGAGGCCUGGUGAAAUUGUAUUACCGGUGAAGAUACCGGUUACCUACAGUAGGACGGAAAGACCCCAUGGAGCUUUACUGUAGCUUGGUAUUGGGUUUUGACAUUGCAUGUAUAGGUGGGAGGCUGUGAAGUUCUGCUUGUGGGCAGAAUCGAGCCAACGGUGAGAUACCACUUUAGCGAGGCUAGAAUUCUAACCCUUACCCGUCAUCCGGGAAGGAGACAGUUUCAGGGGGGUAGU
This 370-nucleotide small RNA is filed under the name uncultured Fusobacterium sp. RNAcentral's name for it is "bacterial LSU rRNA". It matches the Rfam family "Bacterial large subunit ribosomal RNA", at positions 1886 to 2269 of the family's 2925-position model. The record is from RNAcentral. Lineage: Bacteria; Fusobacteriati; Fusobacteriota; Fusobacteriia; Fusobacteriales; Fusobacteriaceae.